This 654-nucleotide long non-coding RNA is filed under the name Panicum hallii. Its description in RNAcentral is "long non-coding RNA (PHAL_LNC000089)". The record is from RNAcentral. Lineage: Eukaryota; Viridiplantae; Streptophyta; Magnoliopsida; Poales; Poaceae.
UUCCCCCAAAAUUUACCCGUGGGAUGCUUUGGCACGAGGCGCCGUGAACUAUGCCGAUCGAUCGCCAGCGUCGCGAUCUGUAGGGUACGCAUCUGUGCAGAAGAUUCAUCGCUUCUGUUCUCAAAAAAAAAAAAAAGAUUCAUCGCUGCUCACCUGUUCUAACUCGCCGCCGUCGGGUUUGCUAAUGAUGUUGAUCUCGCGCGAAACUGGAGCCCGUCGCGCUGCCGGAUCGGAGGCGGAGCACGGCCAUGUCCUGCGGACGAUUGGGUCGGCGCCGAGACACGCUCGCGUGCACCUGCCUCUCGUCCAACCGGCCACUGGCUUCGAGUUGUUCUUGUUCUGCGCCGCGGCCAAACUCUGAGUCCGGACCUCCUUCUGGCGACGGGAAAGUGAUAGCUCUCACCAAUUGUUAAGCAACAGCGUGAACAGCUUCUUCUUAAAAGAGGGAAAAAAACAGAACAGCGUGAAGAUAGCGUCACAUGUGAAAACCCAAAUACUCAUUCCUUAAUUAAGCAGAUCGGAUCGGAAAAGGCAUAGAGGGAUUCUCCGUCUCCGCGCCGCGUCCUCCCGCACGGAUCCGCGCUGCGGCCGAGCCCUAGCCGCUCCCCCGCCCCAUUCAUGGUGGGCGGGCCGUGAGAUCUCUAGGGAGGGCUC